Molecule: long non-coding RNA, 1286 nt
Filed under: Mus spicilegus (steppe mouse)
Lineage: Eukaryota; Metazoa; Chordata; Mammalia; Rodentia; Muridae
Description: lncRNA (ENSMSIG00000022167.1)
Source: RNAcentral
AUGAAAUGGUCAGAGCAGGUGUAUGGAAAAGACAUUAUGAUGUCAGAAUUUGAUGCAACAGUAUUAAUUUGUGUGUGGAAAGCGAGGGCUUCUGCCAAGAAGUGGGACCUGCCUUCAGGCAUGCUGCACCUUGGCAGGGAGACACUCAGAACCUCCACGGGAGGACUCCAGAAUGCUGGGGACAUGACAGUCCACACGGAGCAAGAUUUAUUUUCUUCUUCCCAUCUUGGGGCUGAUCAUAAAGAGGGGAUGGGAGCUUUGUCGCAAAGACUUCAGUCCUCUGAUCCCCAUGGAGCUGCAGGGUGGAUAAACCAGGGACUUUCUGCCCAAGGAAGAAAUGCUGUGAAUGCAGCUGAUAAUGGUGAUGGAUGAGGACAUGAGGUAUCGUGGCCAGUGAAUCAGCCAAGUUACCAGAGGCUGCCAUGGUACAGGCUCCGUCUGAAUGAUGGAGAACAUGGAGUUUGGAAUCUUUUCUGUUCUGGGACAAUGAAUGACGUUUGUUAGUAGGCUAGGAGCAUUGUAGGACAUGGUAACGGUGGAAACAGAGAACUGGAGUCAGACAAGGCUCUAGACAAGGUGCAGAGCCCUGAAGUGCUCACUACACGGUAGGAGGCCGACUGGAGAGGUCCCGGGCUCCCUUGGCUGCGGUGCCAGGACUCUGUGGGUCUGCUGAGUGACCUGGACCUGCCCUUCAGUGCAAGUCAUGGUGAUCCUUCCCUAUAGAGUUAUUCAUUACUAACUCUGUACCUAAAAACCACCCAGUCUGCUGAAAAUGACUGCCUUCCCUGGAGUAGCUCUCAUCACGUAGCUCAUCACGCACAAAUGUGGUGACGUCAGAGGCUGUCGGUAGUGAAGGGCACAGCUCUGCUGGGGUCUGUGUAUCCCUUCUCCCCUCACUCUUUCUAACGGUGAACUGGCUUUCCCUAUCACCUUCUUCAGUCACCUUGGGAAUAUUAUUACACAGUGUGAUGAUUAAUCUUGACUAUCCACUUGACAGAAUCUACAAUUGUCUUGGGGAAAAAAAAAACCUGGGCAUGACUGUGAGCUAAUUUCUUGAUUGACUUAGUUGAAGGAGGAAGACCCACCUAAAUGUGGAUUUUAACACUCCAUGGAGUGAAGACUGGCUAAAUGGCGACAGUUAAGCUGAGCACCAGCCCUUAACUUAACUGCUUCUCUGUUUCAGGGUCUCUCAAGCACUGCUGCCACCUGCUCUCCACCAUCCUGAACUGCACCCUGACCUUUUGAGCUAGAAUAAACCCUCCCUCCAUUAAGUUGCUCUUGUUGGC